RNAcentral lists this non-coding RNA (29 nucleotides) under Mus musculus (house mouse). The record is from RNAcentral. Lineage: Eukaryota; Metazoa; Chordata; Mammalia; Rodentia; Muridae.
UAACAUUUCGAAGCUGGAUGAGAUGGUUC